GAUCAACAAAAGUGCAGAGGGGGAGUUGUAAUGUGGCUAUAAUUAAACAUCAUGAGGAAACACAAUACUUCAUUGAGGAAUUCAGGUACCUAUACUAGCCCGUCGACACCAGAGUAUGGAGAUGAUCAUUUUGAAGGAUUUCAGAAAGGAUGGAGUUCGGAGCGAGUUCCCUUGCCAACUAAUAGUAGUAGAAGACACAUUACUGCUACUGCAUUGAUGCCG
This 222-nucleotide unclassified non-coding RNA is filed under the name Hevea brasiliensis (rubber tree). The record is from RNAcentral. Lineage: Eukaryota; Viridiplantae; Streptophyta; Magnoliopsida; Malpighiales; Euphorbiaceae.